Molecule: long non-coding RNA, 9908 nt
Organism: Ictalurus punctatus (channel catfish)
Lineage: Eukaryota; Metazoa; Chordata; Actinopteri; Siluriformes; Ictaluridae
Source: Ensembl
GAAAAUUUGUGUCAUUUCAUCUGUCUAAAAAAGUUAGCAGUCUAAAUAAAACACUCCAAGAAGUUAUAUAUAUUUUGCUUGCCCUUCAAUGGGUCAUUUGUUGAAUGUGUUUAAAACCACACAGAAACAAAAAUGACACAAGAAGGACAAGAAUAGUCAUUGCAGGAGGCUUUUACCAUGGGUAUUCUGUCAUUUUGAAUGCACUGUAUCUUAGGAUUAUUUUAAAUGAAUACAGUGUACACAUUUUGUGAAAAAAAAAUUACAGUUCUAUGUGGUUAUGUGUUUAUAUUAGUGGGAUAAUAAAUUAAUAGGAUGCGGCAAAGUUGCACACUCAAAGGAAGAAAGUGGAUUGAGACUGGGGAGACUGACAGCACCAUCUAUAAGAAGGACAGUUAACUAGACAACGAUCCUGAAAACAAAGAAGCACAAGUCAAUCAACAUUCACUCCUACUAUACUGUAAGCUAAAAGAUCACACAUAUUCACAACAGUUACUUCUAUGUGCAAGCAUUUAUGAAGUAUGUUAUGCGAUUGUGGUGGGGUCAUUUUUUAAACAUUUUUUUUUUGUUCUUUCCUCAGGGCUUCAGUGACAAACUCCAUUGGCUAUAUCUAUACCUUUAAAAAUUCUAUGCAGAACUCUAUAACAGAGGGUUUCCAUUCACUAAAGGUUUCAAGUGGAACCUGUACAGAAAGCCGGGCACAUUAACUGUCCAAAGUAUCCACGAGGAACCCUUUAUCUAAGAGUGUACCACUUGUAUUGAUAAUCUAUGGUUAGGGUUAAUGUUUACAUAUAUGGCAUUAGCUUAGGGACAGUACCCAAAUGCUACUGCAAAAUCUUGAAAACGAUAGAAAAAUGUCUUAGGCAUUAUGUCAUAUUCAACAGCCUCAACACUCAGCAUCUGAUUAAUAAGGAACAUAAAUAAAAACUGUAGUACAAAUUGUAUCUUACUAUUGUUCUUCAGCUUAUGCCAGGUUUGAAGGUUAGUUUUCCAGACUGUAGGUCAUGUUCUCUUUCUAUGGAAAAAGCAUAUUAUCAUGCCUCGGCUGAGUAGGCUGACAGAGAUAUGAUUAGUUUGUCAUAACACAACUAGCUUCCCUAUAAAUAUCAGUCACAGUCUUGGAAUAUAUUCUAAAUAAUAUUUAAAUUUAGGGCAUAUGCCCUUAUCCAGAGCAACUUACUUUUUUUGUUAUACAACUGAGCAGUUGAGGGCCUUGCUCAAGGGCCCAGCAGUGGCAGCUUGGUAGUGCUGGGAUUUAAACUCAUGAUCUUCUGAUCAGUAGUCCAAUGUCUUAACCACUGAGCUACCACAGCCCAAAUUAGCUUGUCAGGCAUUGUCCCUGCUAGUCACUUCACAUUUUGGUGCUAAUGCAUAGGAAAAGUUCACUUCAUGGCACAUAGGAAAGGCCCCAUAUCAUUAAUCCAACAUGCUGCAGUCUUUACAAUAAAACCAAAAGUAGUUAAGACUAUUCUAUUUUUGUACUGUAUAAAAAGGUUUUAAUGAAUAAUAUCUUGGCACUGAGCUAAAGCACCCACAGUAUUUGCUAGCGUUCGUUUGAUAUUCUUUAACCAGUGAUGAAACUAAAUUAAAGUGAGUUUUUCAUGAUAUUUGAUCAUUUGCAUGCAUAUAGUAUUAGAUUUGUGUGCCUGACAAUAGAAGCCAUUUGUCAAGCUAGUUCUGUGUGAAGCUUGAAAAUGAGCAGGUGGUGUUUGUGUCUCAAGAUACCUGCUGCUAACUUAGGACACAGCAGACAUGCCAGGAAAAAAGAUAAGAGGGAGAAACCUCUUCCCAGUAACAUACUGUAGCUCUGUCGAAGUUAAAGGAGCAGUUUAUAAUUUUAAACCCUCCUGUAAGGAAAAUGGCUAUUGGAAUAUAACCAUGGACAAGCCCUCUCACCUUUUCUUCACCUGCAGCCAAUUUUGUCUUCUUUACAUUCAUGGAGAGUAUAGUGACAGUGUUUUCCUUGCAUAUGCUAGCUUGUUAGCACACUGGGAUCAGAGUGUAUGGUCAGCCAUGGUACAACACCACAAGAAAAGAGAGCGAUAAGGGACCAAGAAGGCAGCUCGACAGCACAGUGAUUUGAAUUAAUGACCUUCUGAUCAAUAGGCCAGAACCUUAACUAAUGAACCACCACUGCUAAAUUGUUGCUGACUAUUGAUCACAGACACCUAAUUGAUGACUGUAAAUUAGUUGUGUAUGCAUCAAAUAAACAACUAAUAGUGAUGAAAUUUACAAUAUUGACUAGCUCAGAUUUAUUGUGUAUCAAAUUUGGGUUUUUAGUGCAAUUAUUUUGGCAGUAUUCAACUCAAAAACACAGAAGACCCUGUGUAAGAGGGCAUGUGAGCUUUUUAUUCAGACAUGUGCAUGUCGCAUGGUAGUGGGCAAUGUAACAUUUUUCAAUAUAAAUGACUAUAAGUGCCUCUUUAAGCUUUGCUCUGCUCAUAGCCACUUACACACAUGCUCAGCUCACCUUUCAGGGAGAAAUGGAAAGAAAGAUCCUAUUAAUAUACAGGGAAACAGGGCUCAGGUGUGCUACAUUAGUCAUUAGACCUGUAGCUUGUCCCCUAACACCACCCUCCCGCUGGAGAAAACCACUCCCCCACCUGUUAUAGUUAGUUAUGCUGAUUGCCUGAUAGAACAUGUGAUUCUUAUGCACGUACACGAUGUAGAUUCAGAUGGCACAACCCCAAAAUAAAUAAACCAAGUAUGAAAUAUGUUAUAUUUAAUGUGCAGUGCAAGAUUCAUUCAUUAGUCUAAGAUUUGUUACUGUAUGCAAAGCAUUGAAAAUUUGGGAGAAUCAUUGCAGAGAAUUUCCAACAAGCUGAAAAACACAUCCCAAAAGGGCCGUCCUGAAUUUGCUGCAGGCUCGUGUUCACGCGGCUUUCUGCUGCGUACAAAACACAUCCAAACAGCUUGUAAUUACGUCACUACCUCUGCUUUCCCACCUUUCAUCUUAUAAUUACACCAUCUUUAUCACCUCUCACACAUUUUCCCCUCAGCAAAAAAGGGAAGCAGAACAGAGAGAGAAGUUGAGCAGAGAUACUGGAGAAAUUAGAAUAGCAGACAGAUAAAUAAAAAAAAAGAUAGAGAGCAGACAGUAAGACAGAUAAACAGAGAAAACAAUUAUGCAACAUAGAGAAUGAAUAAAAACAUUUUAGACAGAGAAAUGUUGAAAAACAGAGUAGAUGGAGGGGAAGCAAAGAAGACAUGAAAGAAGAAAGAACAGACCAGACAAGGAGAAGCAGCAAAGCAUGUGCUCUGUACCAGCUCUAAUCACGGUGAUAUGGGUCGAGUGAGCAGGGCCAUGGAGGAGUCCGGUGAUGAGACAGGAAAUGAGGAGGAGUGUGAGGUUGCUCAGAGACUUGGCCAGGUUUAUAAGCUUGUUUGUGCAGUGGCAGCCACUCUCUGCCCUUUGAUGGAGCUAAUUAACCUUAGCCUAAGUUAGCAACAGGGACCUCCUAGAGCUGAGGUGUGGAGUGCUGCCUGAACUCGUCUUCAAAGCAAGCAUCCACAGUUUCCCCUUAACACGUUUCAUUUAUAGCUCUCGCACACAUACUUUUCUUCCAUUUUCACUGAACCCAAACAUAACCAUGUAUUAGGUUUUUCUAAUGCAUUUGGCUUUCUUUUUUAUCUAAGCAAAUAAAUCAUCUUCUGUCCAGUAUUAUAAGGUUAAUUUCCCUAUGGAUUUAUGUAAUUGAGUUGCCUACAAGGAGUAGUAGCAUUGGAAAUGUGAUGUAUGGUAAACUUCAAAGCAUAUAUAUAUGGCCAUAGCCAGCCUCAGUCAGGAGUCUGUAUCUUCUGUACUCAUCUGGUUUGGAAGCAUCUGACCAAUUCCCUUGUUCACUAACCCCCAUGUAAUAACAUUAGGAAAUAAAUAGCGGGCAUUUCUCCAAUUACCCAGUCAAUGCAAUGAGUUCAAGGAUAUGGUGCUAAUUAAGUGAAAGUGUGAGAGCUCUCAGCAUUAUUGAUGAGCCUCUGUGUUCAUCUCCAUAUUUCUGGCGUCACUUAACUAAAGAGCAAGCUAUGUGUGGAAAUGGGAAGAGCAGUUCAGCUACACUACUGCACACAACCUUAAUUCAGCGAAACUGAUGGUAAUUGAAGAGACACGUUUCCCUGUCUUACUCAGUGUAUGCUUGUCAGUCAUUAUCAAGGGCAGAAUUUUUGAGCCAGAGACACAAAUGAGUGAGACACAAUAGCAAAGAGAUGAGGCUCAGUGUGAGAGCAUGGUGUAAUUAGGGAGAAUCAGGAAUAUUUGGUUUCAAUUACAUUAUUCCUGAGUUUGAAAAGAGGAAUUAAACUAUUAUUUAUCGGCAGAAAUGGUAGGUAUUAAAAAAUAUGUAGCAAUAUUACAAGGAUGUAGCCAAGUAUAUGGAAAUAUCUUUACAUUUACUGUAUGUUGCUAUUUCAGGUUACUGCUGACAUCAAAAUGAAACAUCUUUAGUUUGGCAUAUAACCUAUAUUACAAAUCCCAUUACAAAUCACUAUAUUACAAAUGUAGUUACGUACAGUAUAACCAAAAGCACACAUUGUAAUAAAAAUAAUUGUUUGACAAGAAAGGAAAAGAACUAGUAAUAUAAGCCAGUGGAAUAUUCAAAAUAGGGCGAAGCGACUGAAGCAGGUCUAUGCAUGUUGGCAGCUUACAAGUAGCAGAUUGUCUCCUCCAAACGUCACUUUUACAGUACGGCCAGGCCGUCUUAGAGCUAAUGCAGCAAAUGCUACUUUGCACAUACUAUUAUCCUUACAUUUUUAUUUGAAUCAAAGCUAUAUGUUCAAACUAUAACUAUAUUGUUAACUUCAAGAGUCUACCACAUAUGCAAAAAGAAAUUCAAACAGCCCUCACUCCAAGUCUGCAAUUAACUAUGUGCUCACUGACAGUAAUCAACACUUAUUUUAAUAAUAUUUAUUCCUCUUCCACAACCAAAUGCUCUGGUUGGAAGUUGUGUGUGAGAGAUAAUUGGCACCCUUCUAGCAGAGGAUGGUAAAUAUUUGCAUUCUGCAUGCUGAUGAAAGGAAGUGCUCCAUAUUUUUGUAUUGAAUGUCAUCUGGGCCAUCUGGCUAAUACAGCAUAUGCAGAUGCACAAGAGUGAAUGAGUGAAUGGGUCAGUUCUGUGAAUAAAGGAGUCAGUCAGUAACUUGUGCUAUUGCUCCUCCUCUAUACAACACAAAUAACAUACACAGUGUCACGCCUCCUCACAUUUGUGCACUAUGUGUAUGUAUGUGUGUGUAAAUGUGAUUGGACAUUAAAAUGGAAAAGUUGUAGAUAUGGAAAAAAAAAAAAAAAGCUAUGGAUCUGUGGUGAGGAAGAAAACAGCUAGUUUUCAUCAGAUUAUUCCAAGACAGUAUUACAAUACAGAACAACAUAACAACAUUAGUAAUCCAUCAACCCAGUGCAUAUUUCCAAACUAAUUAUACUAGAAUCAAUCAUGUUACAUGACGUACUUACAUACGAUAGCAGCAUAUUUCAUUCUCUUCUAGUAGCAUUGUGUAGCUUUAUAAUGCAGAUAGGGGGUAAUAUAAAAUGAUGGCAUACUUUGAGACUUGAAAUACUGUUAUUAUGAAAAUGAUUCCUGGAGAAAUGCCUUUUGGGUUUGGUUGCCAUGACAAGAGGGUGUCUGGGAAGGUUCUGGUGAUCUUUUGCUCAAAGUUCAAGAUUAGAGCUUGGAGAAGGUGGAGGCUGGACAUUGAAUGGUUUCAGCUUUUUUUUUUCCUGAUCUCUAUUAAUCAAGAGCGGCUGAAUUGAAGGGGAUGUAUUUGGUGCUGGGUUGUCCAUCUUUUCUUGCUAGUGUCAGGAAGACACUACCUUAAAGGUUUGCAUGAUUAUCUAGACUUUUUAUUUUUACUCCAGCCAUGGCUCCUCCCUGGAUAAUUUGGCUAUUUUCUCUUGUCUGCUGUGCUCUUAUUAUCUUAUAUUUACAUUUACCUUGAUAGCUUAUAUUUAAAAGUGAGUGUUAAUUCUCCUGUUAUUUUUCGAUCUUUAUGGCAAAGUGAUGUACAUAGUCAAGAUAAAUGUGAGGUCAGUGAAUUUUAGGACCAAACCAUUUGUUCAGUAAGUUCUCCUAACUGGCAGCUAUAAAUAAUAAAUUUGCUUCUGACUUAAAUGUUGAGCUUCAGGAAAACUCUUUAGUUCCUCUUAAAAUGCAGAUUAAACCUUUGAGGAUAUAUAUUUUAAAUACUGUUUGGUCUUUUACAAUUCAUUAUUUUCAUUCAUUCAUUCAUUCAUUCACUCACUCAUUCAUUCACUGUUCUUCCACAUUUCCUGUGGGAUUUGUGGUGGCAACAGGAUAAGAAAGACUUCUCUAUCCCUAGUCACAGAUUCUCACUCCUCCUGGAGAGUCCCCAGGACAUUACUAAGUCCACUGUGAGAGUCCUGGGUCUACCUCUGGGUCUUUCCACUGGGCACUUAGUAUUCACUUUGAUAAUUAUCUGCCUUUAACAUCUCCCAUAUCAGAAUUACAGAAAACAAUAGACAGAGAGGAAGGGCAGGUUUGGUAGAAAAGGAGGGUCACUUGUCAAUGAGCAAAUGAUGUUGUCAGUCACAUUACCUUGACAGAAAAAAGCUUAACCACAUUAUGAAAUUGAAUAAUACAUUUUAAAUGAGCAAGGAGGUUUUUGUCUCACAAAGCAUGCUCACAGAGAGUUGUAUGAAUCAUCUCAGUGUUGACUAGACAGUGAGCUGGAAGACGAUGAGGAGAUGAGAGGAGAGGAAAGGACAGAAGGAUCACUACCCAGAUCCUGCAGCUUUUCACUGUACACACUGACUGCACAUGAGUGACAUUCACCAAAAUGUCAUUAUUACAGAUUACCCAAUGCUCUAGUACCAUCAACAUACUCAUAACACAUUGCAUCCUUCUUAAUAUCUGACUAAAAUCAUGUAUACCCUUAAUCAAAAACCUUUUAUCAAACAUAUGACUACCAAAUACUUACUCUUUCCUCUUUUUUUUAAACUUUUUUUUUAACUUUUUUUUUUUUUUUUUUUUUUUAAACUUUUUAGUUUAGCUAGUUUAAAGAUGGGUUAGGUUUAAUUCCUAAUAUUUGUAAAAUUACUGGCCCUAUCCUAAAGCCUGGGUUGGAAAUCAUUAAUAAAUGUCCUGUUUUAUAUCUUGAGAGCCUGUGACAAGUGGUAAUCAUAUCAAGUGAAAAUAAAAUCAAGUGAUAAUAAAAGGGUAUACGUUAACAUUUCAACAUACCAUAUAUUGUAGUUCAAAUACACAACAGAGUUACCCAAUCCAUAUUUUAUUCUACAGUAUUUACAAUAUAACAGGUGUUAUAUGCACAGUGCGUUUACUGUAUGUGUGAUAUUCAGCAAUGCGUUGCAGCAAUUUAGGUCAAUAAUCCAUGCCAAAUGGACAGCUUGUGUAUUGAUCAGGACAUAAAUUACACUUCAGUUAAUGUUGACCACUGUGAGACUACUGUAUUACAAUUUCAAGAAAGAAUGCAAAAUAUUAGGAGGAAAAAAUAUAUUUAAAAAAUUCAACUAAAAGAAAAAACAACAAAAAAGAAAAAGUGCCAACUCAUUGUACUAUUCUACCAUUGUAGCCUUACAUUUUUCUUUCUUUAUUCUAUUUUAUUAUAUAAUAUUAGGUGAUACCUUUUGUACGCAGUGGCCCCAAAAGUAAACAGCAAUCAGCAGUGAUUGGAAUAGUGCACUGGUGAAUGAUCAUUAAGAGGGAAAAAAAGAAAUGCUUGUGCUCAAGGUCAUGUAGUAGCUACACAACUGGCAUCAAAAGAUCAUACAUAAAAUAUUUUUAUAUUAUUAUUAUUAUUAUUAUUAUUAUUAUUAUUAUUAUUAUUAUUAUUAAUGAUAUUAUGUGAUUUGGGGGCCAUGAAACCAGCCUCUGCCCUGCAUGCGUGGAGUUUACAUGCUCCCCCCUGCUUCGGGGGUUUCCUCCGGGUACUCCAGUUUCCUCCCCCAGGAUGAAUGAAUAUUAUGUGAUAUAUAUGAUUGGAUUUAAAUGCUCUGAUGUGUGUUUCAUUAUACAGACACCAAAGAUCAAAUUGAUAAAUGUAGAACGCUUCUGCUGAAAUUUGCAUAUGCUUAUUUUAAGCUCAAAUCUGAUGAAACACAACUUUAAUAAGGACCAUUGUUCCUUUUUUGAUCCAUAAGGGAAACCAAAGCACCUAUUACAUUUUAGUUGUUUAUCAAAUAUUUGUGUCUGGGUAUGAAACCUCUAUUUACCCUGUACUUUCUCAGCCUUACUCUUCCGCUGACCUCUUUCCAGCUCUUCAUGCUAAACCUGAUUGAAUCCAUAUGCGCAGAGAGAUACUAUUUGAGCCCAAUGUCCCACUCCACUGCACAGCACAAAGACCCCCCCCCCCCCCCAACCCUACACACCCACUUUCUAAAGCCAAUAUCCAACCCCAAUUGCCAUCCAUCCUUUCCUCCUAUUCCUCCAUUCUUCCUAACUUGUUUUCAUUUCCAAUUAGUGAGAGCUUCUAAUAUUAUCUGUGUGGUUUAAUUGCUUUGGGGUACCUCAAACCAAAACACACUGGAAUAGCGCACUUAUGCUUACUGAAUCACAAAUGAAGGGUAGAUCAGUGUGUUAAGGACAGACAUGAGGGAGACAAAGAGACUUAUCGGAGCUGAUGAAAGCGCAGUCUCAGCAGCUGCAGUGCAGAUGCACGACUCAUUGAUUUGAGAAAACCUCUAAAUCCCUCUCCGCUCAGAGACACUCCAUGACCUCUGGAAACUGGAAACAUGGAUCUGCCUGAGACACUUAAAAAAGGAGGAUGUAAAUGAUGGUGAGGGUGAACAGUAAAGCCCAGUUUACACCCACACAUGUAAUGUAAUAUGUAUUAAUGGUUAAUUAUGAGCACCCACGUACGAUAGACACUUUUCUUUUGUCUGAGUGGUCACAUGGUGGUCAUUAAAAGCUGGUGAGGAAAUCUUUGUUCUGUUUUGUAUAAGACCGUGGUGUUAUUUUCAUAUGAAUGCCCGGGGACUGAAUCAGGGGUGAAGAAAUGAAGAAAUAGGAAUGAAAAUGUAAAGAUGGCAUGUGACAGUAGGGAGAAUUCUAUGAGAACAUUACAGUCGAUCUUGUCCAAUACAUAAGUCACUUAAUCACCACAAGUAUAUAUUCUUUAAAAUUGAACUAAUUUCAAAUGAAUUGGCCAUUUCAAAUCCAACCGUCCGUCCGUCCAUUUUCUGUAAUACUUAUCCUACACAGGGUCGUGGGGAGCCUGACCCCUAUCCCAGGGUGCCUAUCGGGGCACGAGGCAGGGGACACCCUGGAUAGGGUAUCAACCCAUCGCACUACACAAUCACACAUUCACUACGGACAAUUUGGAAAUUCCAAUCAGCCUACAACACACGUCUUUGUAGGAAACUGGAGUACCUGAAGUAAACCCUUGAAACUCUGGGAGAACAUGCAUGCGGGGCGUCAAACUCCCAAUGCUAGAGGUGUGAGGCAAAUGUGCUAACCACUAAGCCACCAUGCCCCCUGCCAUUUCAAAUCACAUCAAUCAAGUCAGAUGCCCAUCAUGUCAGGAAUAAGAGGCAAAGCACACAAUAUCUGUUUAUCAGUUGUGUAGAUUUGGGCCACACAGCACAGUGGAAGCACCACCAUAUUGAAACAGCUGGGAAAGUGCUGCUGGUCUCUAUAACAAGAUUUCAGUCCUAAAUGAAUCCCUCCUGCUGAGCCCUGUGAGCUUCUUACCACCAAAUCCAUCCUCAUUUUGCCACAUGUACAUCCAUUUAUCAAGCAUGUAAUCAGUAAUGCAUUUAUCAGAAAGGCCACGCUAGUGUGAAGGAUACAGAGCAAACAGUGAGACCUUAUUGCUGUGUGACCCCCUAAUAAGAUUUAAAAAAGAUAAACAGAGACUCAGCAGGCAGCACUCACCAACAGUUGUGAAUAAUAAGAAGAUAUACAGGAGCAGAUUACCUCUUGUAAUAAUAAUAAUAAUAAUAAUAAUAA